RNAcentral lists this long non-coding RNA (520 nucleotides) under Pan troglodytes (chimpanzee). RNAcentral describes it as "long non-coding RNA NONPTRT011979". The record is from RNAcentral. Lineage: Eukaryota; Metazoa; Chordata; Mammalia; Primates; Hominidae.
CUAAAAACUCUCAAUAAAUUAGGUAUUGAUGGGACGUAUUUCAAAAUAAUAAGAGCUAUCUAUGACAAAUUCCUUCCACACAAAUGUAGGACAUAGAACACACCUUGGGAAACACUGAAGUUGGAAAGUUCUCAAGUAAUAAUAAUAGCGAUAAUAAAGAACAGUUAUACAAAGCAGCUAUCAUUUAAGUAAGAGGAAUCUUUACUUUAUUUUUUACAAUAGAGUUCAAUAUAAAAAGCUGGGAAGGGGCCGGGCGCGGUGGCUCACGCCUGUAAUCCCAGCACUUUGGGAGGUCGAGGCGAGCAGAUCACAAGGUCAGGAGAUCGAGACCAUCCUGGCUAACACGGUGAAACCCCAUCUCUACUAAAAAUACAAAAAAUUAGCCGGGCGUGGUGGCAGGCACCUGUAGUCCCAGCUACUCGGGAGGCUGGGGCAGGAGAAUGGCGUGAACCCUGGAGGCAGAGCUUGCAGUGAGCCGAGAUCAUGCCACUGCACUCCAGCCUGGGCGACAGAGUGACAC